ACACGGACCAAGGAGUCUAACGUGUGCGCGAGUCGUUGGGAUUCGAUACUAUAAUCCCGUGGGCGCAAUGAAAGUAAAGAGGUUGAGGUGUCUUCGGACCCUCUCCUUGCGGGACGAUGGGUGUCCGUACUCCUUAGUCGGCAUCCAGCACUCCCAGGGCGUCUCGACCCCUCCUUCGGGCGAGGUGAGGCGCGCCUUGAGCGUACACGUUGGGACCCGAAAGAUGGUGAACUAUGCCUGGCCAGGAUGAAGUCAGGGGAAACCCUGAUGGAGGUCCGCAGCGAUUCUGACGUGCAAAUCGAUCGUCUGAGCUGGGUAUAGGGGCGAAAGACUAAUCGAACCAUCUAGUAGCUGGUUCCCUCCGAAGUUUCCCUCAGGAUAGCUGGCGUUCACGAUUAAUGAGUCUCAUGCGGUAAAGCGAAUGAUUAGAGGCAGUGGGGUCGAAACGACUUCAACCUAUUCUCAAACUUUAAAUGCGUGAGAUCUCCGGCCUGCUUUAGUAUGAAGCCGGAGUGGUGUCCUGUACACUGACGGAUCGGAACGCCAGGUGGGCCAAUUUUGGUAAGCAGAACUGGCGCUGUGGGAUGAACCAAAAGCCCGGUUAAGGCGCCCGAAUCGACGCUCAUGGGAAACCAUGAAAGGCGUUGGUUGCUGAAGACAGCANGACGGUGGCCAUGGAANUCGGAAUCCNCU
Molecule: ribosomal RNA, 693 nt
Filed under: Bothriocera sp. 1 PCC-2008
Lineage: Eukaryota; Metazoa; Arthropoda; Insecta; Hemiptera; Cixiidae
Description: eukaryotic LSU rRNA
Rfam family: Eukaryotic large subunit ribosomal RNA
Source: RNAcentral